AAAUUGAAGAGUUUGAUCAUGGCUCAGAUUGAACGCUGGCGGCAGGCCUAACACAUGCAAGUCGAACGGUAACAGGAAGAAGCUUGCUUCUUUGCUGACGAGUGGCGGACGGGUGAGUAAUGUCUGGGAAACUGCCUGAUGGAGGGGGAUAACUACUGGAAACGGUAGCUAAUACCGCAUAACGUCGCAAGACCAAAGAGGGGGACCUUCGGGCCUCUUGCCAUCGGAUGUGCCCAGAUGGGAUUAGCUAGUAGGUGAGGUAACGGCUCACCUAGGCGACGAUCCCUAGCUGGUCUGAGAGGAUGACCAGCCACACUGGAACUGAGACACGGUCCAGACUCCUACGGGAGGCAGCAGUGGGGAAUAUUGCACAAUGGGCGCAAGCCUGAUGCAGCCAUGCCGCGUGUAUGAAGAAGGCCUUCGGGUUGUAAAGUACUUUCAGCGGGGAGGAAGGGAGUAAAGUUAAUACCUUUGCUCAUUGACGUUACCCGCAGAAGAAGCACCGGCUAACUCCGUGCCAGCAGCCGCGGUAAUACGGAGGGUGCAAGCGUUAAUCGGAAUUACUGGGCGUAAAGCGCACGCAGGCGGUUUGUUAAGUCAGAUGUGAAAUCCCCGGGCUCAACCUGGGAACUGCAUCUGAUACUGGCAAGCUUGAGUCUCGUAGAGGGGGGUAGAAUUCCAGGUGUAGCGGUGAAAUGCGUAGAGAUCUGGAGGAAUACCGGUGGCGAAGGCGGCCCCCUGGACGAAGACUGACGCUCAGGUGCGAAAGCGUGGGGAGCAAACAGGAUUAGAUACCCUGGUAGUCCACGCCGUAAACGAUGUCGACUUGGAGGUUGUGCCCUUGAGGCGUGGCUUCCGGAGCUAACGCGUUAAGUCGACCGCCUGGGGAGUACGGCCGCAAGGUUAAAACUCAAAUGAAUUGACGGGGGCCCGCACAAGCGGUGGAGCAUGUGGUUUAAUUCGAUGCAACGCGAAGAACCUUACCUGGUCUUGACAUCCACGGAAGUUUUCAGAGAUGAGAAUGUGCCUUCGGGAACCGUGAGACAGGUGCUGCAUGGCUGUCGUCAGCUCGUGUUGUGAAAUGUUGGGUUAAGUCCCGCAACGAGCGCAACCCUUAUCCUUUGUUGCCAGCGGUCCGGCCGGGAACUCAAAGGAGACUGCCAGUGAUAAACUGGAGGAAGGUGGGGAUGACGUCAAGUCAUCAUGGCCCUUACGACCAGGGCUACACACGUGCUACAAUGGCGCAUACAAAGAGAAGCGACCUCGCGAGAGCAAGCGGACCUCAUAAAGUGCGUCGUAGUCCGGAUUGGAGUCUGCAACUCGACUCCAUGAAGUCGGAAUCGCUAGUAAUCGUGGAUCAGAAUGCCACGGUGAAUACGUUCCCGGGCCUUGUACACACCGCCCGUCACACCAUGGGAGUGGGUUGCAAAAGAAGUAGGUAGCUUAACCUUCGGGAGGGCGCUUACCACUUUGUGAUUCAUGACUGGGGUGAAGUCGUAACAAGGUAACCGUAGGGGAACCUGCGGUUGGAUCACCUCCUUACCUUAAAGAAGC
This 1554-nucleotide ribosomal RNA is filed under the name Shigella boydii. Its description in RNAcentral is "bacterial SSU rRNA". It matches the Rfam family "Bacterial small subunit ribosomal RNA". The record is from RNAcentral. Lineage: Bacteria; Pseudomonadati; Pseudomonadota; Gammaproteobacteria; Enterobacterales; Enterobacteriaceae.